This 503-nucleotide ribosomal RNA is filed under the name Theileria ovis. Its description in RNAcentral is "SSU rRNA". It matches the Rfam family "Eukaryotic small subunit ribosomal RNA", at positions 499 to 1036 of the family's 1831-position model. The record is from RNAcentral. Lineage: Eukaryota; Apicomplexa; Aconoidasida; Piroplasmida; Theileriidae.
UGUCUUGUAAUUGGAAUGAUGGGAAUUUAAACCUCUUCCAGAGUAUCAAUUGGAGGGCAAGUCUGGUGCCAGCAGCCGCGGUAAUUCCAGCUCCAAUAGCGUAUAUUAAAAUUGUUGCAGUUAAAAAGCUCGUAGUUGAAUUUCUGCUGCAUUGCUUUUGCUCCUUUACGAGUCUUUGCAUUGUGGCUUAUUUCGGACUUUGUUUUACAAUGUCCGGAUGUUUACUUUGAGAAAAUUAGAGUGCUCAAAGCAGGCUUUCGCCUUGAAUAGUUUAGCAUGGAAUAAUAAAGUAGGACUUUGGUUCUAUUUUGUUGGUUUUAGGUACCAAAGUAAUGGUUAAUAGGAACAGUUGGGGGCAUUCGUAUUUAACUGUCAGAGGUGAAAUUCUUAGAUUUGUUAAAGACGAACUACUGCGAAAGCAUUUGCCAAGGAUGUUUUCAUUAAUCAAGAACGAAAGUUAGGGGAUCGAAGACGAUCAGAUACCGUCGUAGUCCUACCAUAAA